AGUGAACGCUGGCGGUAGGCCUAACACAUGCAAGUCGAACGGCAGCACAUUAAGUGUUUGCUCUUACGGGUGGCGAGUGGCGGACGGGUGCUGCAUACAUCUGAAUCUUCUUUUUCGUGGGUGUUAAUGUAGUGAAACUUACGCUAAUACCGCAUACGUCCUACGUGUGAAAGCAGGGGAUCUUCUGACCUUGUGCGAUUGAAUGAUUCGAUGUCGGAUUACUUAGUUGGCGGGGUAAAGAUCCACUAAGGCGACGAUCCGUAGCUGGUCUGAGAGGAUGAUCAGCAACACGGGAAAGGGGACGAGGACCAGACUCCUAAGGGAGGCACCAGUGGGGAAUAUUGGACAGAGGGCGCAAGCCUGAUCCAGCCAAACCGCGUGGGUGAAGAAGGCCUUCGGGUUGUAAAGCCCUUUUGUUGGGAAAGAAAAGCAGCAGGUUAAUACCCCGCUGUUCUGACGGUACCCAAAGAAUAAGCACCGGCUAACUUCGUG
RNAcentral lists this ribosomal RNA (492 nucleotides) under uncultured bacterium. RNAcentral's name for it is "partial 16S ribosomal RNA". It matches the Rfam family "Bacterial small subunit ribosomal RNA", at positions 29 to 507 of the family's 1533-position model. The record is from RNAcentral.